This 32-nucleotide ribosomal RNA is filed under the name Globisporangium ultimum. Its description in RNAcentral is "partial 28S ribosomal RNA". Lineage: Eukaryota; Oomycota; Peronosporomycetes; Pythiales; Pythiaceae. The record is from RNAcentral.
UUGGACCUGAUAUCAGACCAAUCAAACUUGCC